Molecule: transfer RNA, 71 nt
Filed under: Diplodus cervinus (zebra seabream)
Lineage: Eukaryota; Metazoa; Chordata; Actinopteri; Spariformes; Sparidae
Description: tRNA-Gln
Rfam family: tRNA
About the family: Transfer RNA (tRNA) molecules are approximately 80 nucleotides in length. Their secondary structure includes four short double-helical elements and three loops (D, anti-codon, and T loops). Further hydrogen bonds mediate the characteristic L-shaped molecular structure. tRNAs have two regions of fundamental functional importance: the anti-codon, which is responsible for specific mRNA codon recognition, and the 3' end, to which the tRNAs corresponding amino acid is attached (by aminoacyl-tRNA synthetases). tRNAs cope with the degeneracy of the genetic code in two manners: having more than one tRNA (with a specific anti-codon) for a particular amino acid; and 'wobble' base-pairing, i.e. permitting non-standard base-pairing at the 3rd anti-codon position.
Source: RNAcentral
UAGGAAGUGGUGUAGUGGAAGCACAGGGAGCCUUGACCUCCCCGGGAAGGGUUCAAGCCCCUUCUUUCUAA